AAAAGCUACUCAUACAAUUAACUCUAAAAAGAAUAGAGCACUCGAUUAGAUGGAGCCAAUGUCACUUCCAUUUCACUUCAAGUGGUACAGAGUCUUUUUUUUUUUUUUUUUUUUUUUGUUAAACCUUGCUUUCAUUCAAUGGAACAUAGAACAAUUACAAGAAAUAGAGUUUAAGAACUCAAAGAUUAAAGCAUUACAACAAACGGUAUUCCCCAAUACCAUAAAAAGAAAGAUAAAGUGCAUCGAUUUGAAUUCCAUGAGAGCUUUGAGGCAUAAGCAAAGAAGCACAGUGCAACAUGUGAGGUCACAGUAAAUCGAAGGAUCAUCCUCGAAAUAGUCGAAGGACAACAGGUUGGUCACGGUCAAGGGACGUAGUGACGUUGACAAAGACAUCGAAGCUAUAGAUCUCACCGGGGCUAGCUGCAAUACCCACGGAAAAAGGAUAGCAAGGAUUCGAAGGACUAUGGUUCUAUAGUCGGUUAAGGUUAGCUUUAGGAUCCAACACAAAAGGCAAACAAAUCUCCGAUCAAUAGCGGCAUACACUAUGAGACAAUGAAACAUGAUGAUGGACAUAGUGAUGAGCUUGAAGGCGAUAGAUGAGCUACUUGGUGACCAUUGAGCGAUGAAAACCCAUAAUUCAAAGCCACAUUUGACACAAAGGCAAGUACAAUUCAGAAAAAUUAGAGAGAAGGUCUUCAAGACUUUGGAAUGAGGCCACACAUUCCUAGAUAUAGCUAAAACCAGGAUUCGCAAAUGAUAAAUGAAGAACCAAAACCUCCAU
RNAcentral lists this small RNA (781 nucleotides) under Arabidopsis thaliana (thale cress). Its description in RNAcentral is "ATSL231490". The record is from RNAcentral. Lineage: Eukaryota; Viridiplantae; Streptophyta; Magnoliopsida; Brassicales; Brassicaceae.